Lutra lutra (Eurasian river otter) is the source of this 3336-nucleotide long non-coding RNA. RefSeq lists it as uncharacterized. Lineage: Eukaryota; Metazoa; Chordata; Mammalia; Carnivora; Mustelidae. The transcript has 2 exons. The record is from RefSeq and is a predicted model, not a curated record.
GAAAACCUAAGAUUGGUGAAGUUGGUUAAAAUAAUCACUGCAGUAAUUGAAGGAGGCCUUAGGCGCGGAGGGCUUGUUCUGAAAGCUGGGGUUUUCAGAUUUUUCUCUUUUUUGGGGGGAAGAGAACAUCCCUUUGCUACCAUGUUUUGUUUUUACUUUGGUGGAAUUCAAUGGCUUUAUCCACACAGUCAUCUGAGAACUUGGCAUUUCAAAGAAAUUUCCAUAACUUUUUAUUCCACCUUUGGUUAUGUCCUUGAUAACGCCUCGUGCAUGGCCAGAACUGUUUGGUUAAUUAAAAUGCAGCAACUCUUAAAAAUUCCGUAAUCAAGGGGGAUUAUUGCAGCAAUCAGUAUGGCCUACAUACUAUACCAUCAAGUUUCUUUUCUUCCUGGAUUGUUUAGGAUUUAGGAUUAAAAAUAAGGUUUUACCUUUUAAGAAACCACUUGUUGGGGUUUCUUAAGUGUUUCUCCCUUAAGGCGGCCAAAAUUCUGGGAGCCUCGAAGCAACAGCUCACAAGGAUGCAGGCAUUUUGGUUCGCUCGCUCCCUGCCAUCUGUCACCUUCUCCUGCAGCGUACGGAGCCCCGUAAGUCUAGAAAAUGUUUGCAAAUCAAACUAAAUUUAAAUGGGAUCAUUAGAUAUACACAACACCAAGUGCUACAUCUGCAGAGAUAAUUUGAAAUUCCUGAUUUCAAGAGAGCAAAUGAGUGUUUACUGAGGAAUAAUUAAAUCAGAAUUUCAUAUGAGCGCCACCAUCCUUCUGUUAGUUCUGUUCAUUUUGAGUGAUUCUCGGAUGCUCAUUCUCCGUCCUCGGUACAGAUAGCGUCCCUGCUCCCAGAAUGUAAAGAUUUCUAGGCCAGGAGACUGCCGCGGCUCCGCUCAUAGACUUGAAGCAGAGCCUGCCACAUGCAGCAAGUAUUUAUUUAAACUAACAUCCAUGCUAUAUUUUAACCUUUUAAGGGUAUAGAAUUUACAGGAUUCUCACAUACUGUGUUCAUACUUGAAUAUCUUUCCAUGUUUUGCGGGGAACAGCAUGCUGGGAAAUAGGUUGCCCUGUUUUCAGUUGUUCUAACCCAUGGUGAAGGUCUUUCUUCCUGAAAGUGAUUAGAUUACCCUUGAUUGCUGCUACUUAUUUGACCUAAUAUCUAAAAAGUUCAGCUCAGUUUUUUAAAAAAAAAGUUUACUUUUCAGAGGAGAUUAUCAUUGAGGAGAUGUUUUUUUGUUUUGGUAAUUUUUAAGUGAUAUGAAAAUCCAGCAACAGUCCUCUUCUGGAUAGCUUACUCUGUUCUGUAGGUAAUUUCAUUUUCUUUUCAUCUGCAGGGAGAGUAAGUCAUAAUGUAUCAAAUGCCUUUUUAGGUAGUCUCUGUCCCUGAGGAUUAGCUUUCAUUUAGCCUGAACUUGGAGUAAUAAAUUCCAAGCUCUUUGAAGGGGACUAACAGUACACUGUCCCCCGUCCACAUUGCGUCUCCUGUGACCUCCAAGUGAGGUCCCCUUACCCUCUGGGGAAGGAACAGCAGAGAGGGGCAAGACUGCAAAAAAGAUGCCAGGCUCCUCUUGGCUGCUUCUAAUAAGAGUCGCUUAGAAUCUGACCCAAGGAGUUUCCUCCCAGGUGGAGAGCAGUUCAGUUUGUGAGAAUAAAGAGCUCCAGCUCGACAGAGAAACGCAAUUUAGAAAAAGUAACUUCUCCGAGGUUACCUCUGUUUUCAUCUUGCUUGCCACCACAUUAAAGGGUGAGUCCCGCUCUCCCAGGUGUCCACAUAGGAAACUGCCGAUCGAUUAUUGUGAUCUUGGCCUGACCAAAAUGCCUUUGUGAAUAGGUCACCAGAAGUUAAAAAAAAAAAAAAAAAUACCCAGUGAUGUAUUCCUGUAGUUAACUUUUUCCGUUGUCAGUUUACUAUUUUAAAAGAAAAAAGGGUGGAUGGGAUACAAUUCUGAAUAUUUUUCUAGUCCGGAAUUUUUUUUAAUUAAUAAUCGGUGCUGUCGGGUCAUGCAUGCUGCAACUCAGUAUUUCCCUUAUUUGAUUUCGCUUUUUGCAAGAAGGGCUAUGGUUCACAUGGCAGAGUAAAUAUUAAACUUUCUGGGGUUCCCUCCCCCCACCUGUGGCCCAAAAGAAUUAAAAUCUUUUAAUAUAAAUAGCAUAUUUAUCAUUCCUCAAUAGUUAAUUAUAGAGUUUGGUAACUUUGUGCCUCAGGGAAGCCACGUGAUAUAACUGGUUAUAGAAUUUCAGGGUUAGGGUUUAAAGAAAGGAGAAAGCCAUUGGAAAAAUGAUGGGCUCCAUGAAGGAGACUAAUGAAUCUGGAUGCAGAAAUAUGCCAGGAACUGGCAUACACAUGAUUGUAAUAGAAUUUCUUUCCAGUAUCAAUAGGGAAAGCUUAAGUUAAUUGCAUAUACUGUAUUAGGAAAGUUGAGAACUCUUCCUAAAGCUUCAAUUGCUUUAUUUUUGCUUACAUAAAACUCAAACACCUGUGUCGUGGGAGCUCAGUAUUGUGAUUUGGGCACUUUUGAAAGUUAAAGCGAGCAUGUUUUCUCCUUUUGUCAUAGGUCUCACAACUGUUACCUGCGGUUCUAGGAUUUUGAUCAACUUUUUAGCCAUUCUGUGCUUUGGAUUCGUGUGAAAGGAUGUGUGAUCACGGCAUUGUUCAUGCUGGCUACAGGCUGGUUAUUUUCAUGCAAUUUUGCCUUGUAACAGUGGAAUUUCUGAUAGGCAAACCACAGAACCUUGAUUUUAAGCCAGAUCCAUCUCCAUUCCCUUGGCAGGGGAUCUUCUAGCCCCUAGUUUAGCCUUCAUGGGCUGAGGGUAUGAAGUUCCUUCUCCAGGGCUGGAAAUAGAGCGGAGCUCUGUUAUCGUUUCUUAAUGACCCAAAGGCCAACGAGACAACUCCAGGAUUUUUUUUAAAGAAGAAUGUAAGCAUUGCAAAAGUAGUAAAACAAAAGAAGGUUCAGUGUUUCUUUUCAGUAAAACAUAUAUCCUCUCAAGUUUUCGCCCUCAUGAAGAAGCCCUAGAGGAAGAUAGGACAAAGUAAAUAUUUUUCCAGUUCUACUUAACCGUUUCUAAACAAAAAUAAACUUGAUGAAAGGGAAAUUAUUUCUUUUUAGCGGAGAUGACCAAUUGUUUCUCUGUAUGAAAUAGUCUAGAAGUUACGGGGUGGUCACAUUUACCAUGUAUAGUGUUAUGAGCAAUUAAAUAUUAUGGAUAUAUUUGUAAAACUGUUCUUUUAUAUUUCAUGUCAAAUUGAAAAGUUUAUUUCUUCACUAUUGUACCUGUGGAAAUACAAGCCAUUUUACAGGAAAAAAAAAAUCUUCGAAAAUUAUUAAAAUGAAUCUCAGUAUGUUUGUGA